UACGGGGGGAGCGAGCGUUGUUCGGAAUCACUGGGCGUAAAGGGCGCGUAGGCGGCUGAAUAAGUCAGAGGUGAAAUCCCAGGGCUUAACCUUGGAAUUGCCUUUGAUACUAUCUGUCUUGAAUAUUGUGGAGGUGAGCGGAAUAUGUCAUGUAGCGGUGAAAUGCUUAGAUAUGACAUAGAACACCAAUUGCGAAGGCAGCUCACUACACAAUCAUUGACUCUGAGGCACGAAAGCGUGGGGAUCAAACAGG
RNAcentral lists this ribosomal RNA (253 nucleotides) under uncultured bacterium. RNAcentral's name for it is "partial 16S ribosomal RNA". It matches the Rfam family "Bacterial small subunit ribosomal RNA", at positions 524 to 776 of the family's 1533-position model. The record is from RNAcentral.